This 469-nucleotide ribosomal RNA is filed under the name uncultured bacterium. Its description in RNAcentral is "partial 16S ribosomal RNA". It matches the Rfam family "Bacterial small subunit ribosomal RNA", at positions 28 to 507 of the family's 1533-position model. The record is from RNAcentral.
GACGAACGCUGGCGGCGCGCCUAACACAUGCAAGUCGAACGAGCGAGAGAGAGCUUGCUUUCUCGAGCAAGUGGCGAACGGGUGUGUAACGCGUGAGGAACCUGCCUCAAAGAGGGGGACAACAGUUGGAAACGACUGCUAAUACCGCAUAAGCCCACGGCUCGGCAUCGAGCAGGGGAAAAAGGAGCAAUCCGCUUUGAGAUGGCCUCGCGUCCGCUGAGCUAGUUGGUGGGGUAACGCCCCACCAAGGCGACGAGCGGUAGCCGGACGGAGGGGGUGAAGGGCGACAAGGGGGGGGAGAGACGGCGACGACGCCUACGGGGGGCGGCAGAGGUGGGGAUUGGUCAAAGGGGGGAAACCUCAUGCAGCAGUUCGGUGGGGAGGAGGAAGGUGUUCGGAGGGUAAAAAGCUUUGGGCGGGGAAGAAGAAAGUGACGGUACCUACAGAAGAAGCGACGGCUAAAUACGUG